ACGGGUGCGUAACACGUGGGCAAUCUGCCCUCGGAUGGGGGAUAACCCCGCGAAAGCGGGGCUAAUACCGCAUGACAUUCCCAGGACUCCGGUCCAGGGGCUCAAAGGCCGCAAGGCCGUCUGAGGAGGAGCCCGCGCCCGAUUAGCUAGUUGGUGAGGUAACGGCUCACCAAGGCUUUGAUCGGUAGCCGGUCUGAGAGGAUGGCCGGCCACACUGGAACUGAGACACGGUCCAGACUCCUACGGGAGGCAGCAGUGGGGAAUAUUGCGCAAUGGGCGAAAGCCUGACGCAGCGACGCCGCGUGGGGGAUGAAGCUUCUCGGAGUGUAAACCCCUUUCGACCCGGACGAAUGACCCGCAAGGGUUUGACGGUACGGGUAUAAGAAGCCCCGGCUAACUACGUGCCAGCAGCCGCGG
RNAcentral lists this ribosomal RNA (417 nucleotides) under uncultured bacterium. RNAcentral describes it as "bacterial SSU rRNA". It matches the Rfam family "Bacterial small subunit ribosomal RNA", at positions 102 to 520 of the family's 1533-position model. The record is from RNAcentral.